UUUUUUGGCGAUAAAAAAAAUUUAGUCGCCAAAGUAAAAACGACGUCGUUUUGUACCUGGAAAACCAAAAAUAAAAAUAAAAAUAAAAGAAGGCCCUGAUCUCCUCUGCCUCCUACUCUCCCUCUCUCUGUGUUCUCUCUCUCAAUCGACUUGCAAUUGCUCAAGAAUUGCAGCCAAUUCCAGUCCAGAUUCCAACAUUUCUUCCUCAAUCUUAUCUCUCUCUCUCUGUCUCUCUCUCCUCAAUUCCCUGUCGCAGACACAACCCCGAACCCCCUAUUAUUGUCUUCAUUUUCUCUCUUCCUCACUCCCUCUCUCCACCAUCCCAAUCUUCAUCAACAGUGGUGGCCAAACUUCCUAUUUCAGCCAUAGGGGAGAUUUCGAAAAGAGCCACUACAAAAAGGAAGAUUUCACUGGACCACCACCGUCUCCAGGGAGAUCGGUACUCGGUCGUCGUCAAUAUUCAAGGAGAUCCGAAACAGAUCUUGGUUGCUCACAACCAAUUCUUAGCGAUUAAGCUUUCCGAUCGGUGGUCGAAGCAGCAGCGAACUUCUAACCCCUACAUUGUCGAGAUUGCUGACUGUGAUGAUGUUGAAGUUUACAUUGAGGCUCUAAGUUUGAUGUAUUGUAAGGAUUUAAGGAAGAAGCUCAUGAAGGAAGAUGUCACUAGAGUACUUGGAAUCUUGAAGGCAUUUGCUUUUAGUUCGACUGUGAAAGCGAAGCGAUUGCAAUCGCGUGCUUCGGAGAAAGAGCAGUGGAGGCUUUAUGUACCGACGAUUGACCGGUCUAUCGGAGAACCGGCACCGUAUGUUGUGGUGGUGCAGGGUCCUCCCCAGGUUGGAAAGUCUCUUCUGAUAAAGUGUCUUGUGAAGCAUUACACCAAGCAUAAUCUACCAGAUGAUUGAGGACCCAUUACUAUUGUGUCAGGGAAGCAAAGGCACAAUUUGUGGAGUGCCCAAAUGAUAUUAAUGGUAUGAUUGAUGCUGCAAAGUUUGCUGAUCUAGCUCUGCUUCUCAUU
This is a non-coding RNA of Camellia sinensis, 1015 nucleotides long. The record is from RefSeq and is a predicted model, not a curated record. Lineage: Eukaryota; Viridiplantae; Streptophyta; Magnoliopsida; Ericales; Theaceae.